AACGAACGCUGGCGGCAGGCCUAACACAUGCAAGUCGAGCGCACCUUCGGGUGAGCGGCGGACGGGUUAGUAACGCGUGGGAACGUACCCUUUUCUACGGAAUAGCCUUUGGAAACGAAGAGUAAUACCGUAUAUGCCCUUUGGGGGAAAGAUUUAUCGGAGAAGGAUCGGCCCGCGUUAGAUUAGAUAGUUGGUGGGGUAACGGCCUACCAAGUCUACGAUCUAUAGCUGGUUUUAGAGGAUGAUCAGCAACACUGGGACUGAGACACGGCCCAGACUCCUACGGGAGGCAGCAGUGGGGAAUCUUAGACAAUGGGCGCAAGCCUGAUCUAGCCAUGCCGCGUGAGUGAUGAAGGCCUUAGGGUCGUAAAGCUCUUUCGCCUGUGAUGAUAAUGACAGUAGCAGGUAAAGAAACCCCGGCUAACUCCGUGCCAGCAGCCGCGGUAAUACGGAGGGGGUUAGCGUUGUUCGGAAUUACUGGGCGUAAAGCGCACGUAGGCGGAUUGGAAAGUUGGGGGUGAAAUCCCGGGGCUCAACCCCGGAACUGCCUCCAAAACUAUCAGUCUAGAGUUCGAGAGAGGUGAGUGGAAUUCCAAGUGUAGAGGUGAAAUUCGUAGAUAUUUGGAGGAACACCAGUGGCGAAGGCGGCUCACUGGCUCGAUACUGACG
This 669-nucleotide ribosomal RNA is filed under the name bacterium IMCC11711. RNAcentral's name for it is "bacterial SSU rRNA". It matches the Rfam family "Bacterial small subunit ribosomal RNA", at positions 28 to 745 of the family's 1533-position model. The record is from RNAcentral.